RNAcentral lists this ribosomal RNA (474 nucleotides) under uncultured bacterium. RNAcentral describes it as "bacterial SSU rRNA". It matches the Rfam family "Bacterial small subunit ribosomal RNA", at positions 8 to 526 of the family's 1533-position model. The record is from RNAcentral.
AGAGUUUGAUCCUGGCUCAGAGCGAACGCUGGCGGCAGGCCUAAAACAUGCAAGUCGAACGCCCGUAGCAAUACGGGAGUGGCAGACGGGUGAGUAACACGUGGGAACGUGCCCUUUGGUCCGGAACAACCCAGGGAAACUUGGGCUAAUACCGGAUAAGCCCUUACGGGGAAAGAUUUAUCGCCAAAGGAUCGGCCCGCGUCUGAUUAGCUAGUUGGUGAGGUAACGGCUCACCAAGGCUACGAUCAGUAGCUGGUCUGAGAGGAUGAUCAGCCUCACUGGGACUGAGACACGGCCCAGACUCCUACGGGAGGCAGCAGUGGGGAAUAUUGGACAAUGGGCGCAAGCCUGAUCCAGCCAUGCCGCGUGGGUGAUGAAGGCCCUAGGGUUGUAAAGCCCUUUCGGCGGGGAAGAUAAUGACGGUACCCGCAGAAGAAGCCCCGGCUAACUUCGUGCCAGCAGCGGCGGUAAUAC